GUCUACAACCAUACCACCUUGAACAUGCCCAAUUUCAUUUGAUCUUGGAGGCUAAGCAAGGUCAAACCUGUAUAGUACUUACAUAUUGCCCUAUUUAGGAGGCAGAGAACAGAGUAUAGAAGACU
RNAcentral lists this ribosomal RNA (125 nucleotides) under Jaculus jaculus (lesser Egyptian jerboa). The record is from RNAcentral. Lineage: Eukaryota; Metazoa; Chordata; Mammalia; Rodentia; Dipodidae.